GACGAACCGUGCGAACGUUGUUCGGAAUCACUGGGCUUAAAGGGCGCGUAGGCGGGUCAGCAAGUCCGGGGUGAAAUCUUUCGGCUCAACCGGAAAAGUGCCUCGGAUACUGCUGGUCUUGAGGGAGGUAGGGGUUGCUGGAACUUCCGGUGGAGCGGUGAAAUGCGUUGAUAUCGGAAGGAACGCCGGUGGCGAAAGCGAGCAACUGGAUCUCUUCUGACGCUGAGGCGCGAAAGCUAGGGGAGCAAACGGG
RNAcentral lists this ribosomal RNA (253 nucleotides) under uncultured prokaryote. Its description in RNAcentral is "partial 16S ribosomal RNA". It matches the Rfam family "Bacterial small subunit ribosomal RNA", at positions 524 to 776 of the family's 1533-position model. The record is from RNAcentral.